AUGCGCGAAAGUGCGACAGGGCCCCCCGAGUGCUAGCCGCUGAGGUUAGCUUUUCCUUAGUGUAGUAAGCUAAGGGAAUAAGCGGGGGGCAAGCCUGGUGUCAGCCGCCGCGGUAAUACCAGCUCCGCGAGUGGUCGGGACGAUUAUUGGGCCUAAAGCGUCCGUAGCCGGCCUAUCAAGUCUCUGGUUAAACCUCAAGGCUCAACCUUGAGAUUGCUGGAGAUACUGUUAGGCUAGGGGGCGGGAGAGGUUGAGGGUACUUCGCGGGUAGGGGCGAAAUCCUAUAAUCCGCGAAGGACCACCAGUGGCGAAGGCGCUCAACUGGAACGCGCCCGACGGUGAGGGACGAAAGCCAGGGGAGCAAAGGGGAUUAGAUACCCCCGUAGUCCUGGCUGUAAACGAUGCGGGCUAGGUGUUGGGUUGGCUUCGUGCCAACCCGGUGCCGCAGUGAAGACGAUAAGCCCGCCGCCUGGGAAGUACGGCUGCAAGGCUGAAACUUAAAGGAAUUGGCGGGGGAGCAC
Molecule: ribosomal RNA, 521 nt
Filed under: uncultured archaeon GA55
Lineage: Archaea
Description: bacterial SSU rRNA
Rfam family: Archaeal small subunit ribosomal RNA
Source: RNAcentral